Molecule: ribosomal RNA, 493 nt
Filed under: uncultured bacterium
Lineage: Bacteria
Description: partial 16S ribosomal RNA
Rfam family: Bacterial small subunit ribosomal RNA
Source: RNAcentral
AUUGAACGCUGGCGGCAUGCUUUACACAUGCAAGUCGAACGGUAACAGGUUAAGCUGACGAGUGGCGAACGGGUGAGUAAUGCAUCGGAACGUGCCCGAUCGUGGGGGAUAACGCAGCGAAAGCUGCGCUAAUACCGCAUACGAUCUGAGGAUGAAAGCGGGGGACCGUAAGGCCUCGCGCGAUCCGAGCGGCGGAUGUCAGAUUAGGUAGAUGGUGGGGUAAAGGCUCACCAAGCCGACGAUCUGUAGCUGGUCUGAGAGGACGACCAGACACACUGGGACUGAGACACGGCCCAGACUCCUACGGGAGGCAGCAGUGGGGAAUAUUGGACAAUGGGCGCAAGCCUGAUCCAGCCAUGCCGCGUGUGUGAAGAAGGCCUUCGGGUUGUAAAGCACUUUCAGUAGGGAGGAAGCGUUGUGUGUUAAUAGUACGCAGCGUUGACGUUACCUACAGAAGAAGCACCGGCUAACUCUGUGCCAGCCGCCGCCGUAA